UAAUACGAAGGGGGCUAGCGUUGCUCGGAAUUACUGGGCGUAAAGGGCGCGUAGGCGGAUGCUUAAGUUGGGGGUGAAAGCCCAGGGCUCAACCCUGGAAUUGCCUUCAAUACUGGGCAUCUUGAGUACGGGAGAGGUGUGUGGAACUCCGAGUGUAGAGGUGAAAUUCGUAGAUAUUCGGAAGAACACCAGUGGCGAAGGCGACACACUGGCCCGUUACUGACGCUGAGGCGCGAAAGCGUGGGGAGCAAACAGGAUUAGAUACCCUGGUAGUCCACGCUGUAAACGAUGAGAGCUAGUUGUCGGCACGCAUGCGUGUCGGUGACGCAGCUAACGCAUUAAGCUCUCCGCCUGGGGAGUACGGUCGCAAGAUUA
RNAcentral lists this ribosomal RNA (375 nucleotides) under uncultured bacterium. RNAcentral describes it as "bacterial SSU rRNA". It matches the Rfam family "Bacterial small subunit ribosomal RNA", at positions 521 to 896 of the family's 1533-position model. The record is from RNAcentral.